RNAcentral lists this ribosomal RNA (521 nucleotides) under uncultured eubacterium WR119. RNAcentral describes it as "bacterial SSU rRNA". It matches the Rfam family "Bacterial small subunit ribosomal RNA", at positions 9 to 525 of the family's 1533-position model. The record is from RNAcentral.
GAGUUUGAUCAUGGCUCAGAUUGAACGCUGGCGGCAUGCCUUACACAUGCAAGUCGAACGGCAGCGCGGGAGCAAUCCUGGCGGCGAGUGGCGAACGGGUGAGUAAUACAUCGGAACGUGCCCAAUCGUGGGGGAUAACGCAACGAAAGCUGUGCUAAUACCGCAUACGAUCUACGGAUGAAAGCAGGGGAUCGCAAGACCUUGCGCGAWUGGAGCGGGCGAUGGCAGAUUAGGUAGUUGGUGAGGUAAAGGCUCACCAAGCCUUCGAUCUGUAGCUGGUCUGAGAGGACGACCAGCCACACUGGGACUGAGACACGGCCCAGACUCCUACGGGAGGCAGCAGUGGGGAAUUUUGGACAAUGGGCGAAAGCCUGAUCCAGCCAUGCCGCGUGCAGGAUGAAGGCCUUCGGGUUGUAAACUGCUUUUGUACGGAACGAAACGGUCUUCUCUAAUAAAGAGGGCUAAUGACGGUACCGUAAGAAUAAGCACCGGCUAACUACGUGCCAGCAGCCGCGGUAAUA